UGUUUCGCCCGCAAGGGCGUAUGGUGGAUGCCUUGGCAGACGGGACCGAUGAAGGACGCGUGUGGCCGCGAUAGGCCUCGGGGAGCCGCCGACAGGGCUUUGAUCCGAGGGUCUCCGAAUGGGGGAACCCGGCCGCCUCUAUGGGCGGUCACCGGCUUCGGCCGGGGGGUACGCAGGGAAGUGAAACAUCUCAGUACCUGCAGGAAAGGAUACUCCGUGAGUAGUGGCGAGCGAAAGCGGAUCAGGCCAAACCGUUGCCGUGUGAUACCCGUCGGGGGUUGCGGCUUCGGUGUUGCGGGAUCGCGUGUGCCGGCUCCGGCGGGCCGGCGGGCGGUGAGAAAUCCAUGUGCGAGGGGAACCGGGUUGGAUACCGGGCCGUAGAGGGUGAUGGCCCCGUACCCGAAAGCGCAUGGACCGCCUUGACGCGUCUCCCAAGUAGCACGGGUCCCGUGGAACCCCGUGUGAAUCAGCCCAGACCGUUGGGUAAGCCUAAGUAUUCCCGUCUGACCGAUAGCGUACUAGUACCGUGAGGGAAAGGUGAAAAGCACCCCGGGAGGGGAGUGAAAGAGUUCCUGAAACCGUGCGCCUACAAACCGUCGGAGCCUUCUUCAUGGGGGUGACGGCGUGCCUAUCGAAAAAUGAGUCUGCGAGUCAGUGGCGGGUGGCAAGCGUAAGCCGUGUGGCGGACGCGUAGCGAAAGCGAGUCUUAAAAGGCGCCUUUAGUCGCUCGUCCUGGACCCGAAGCGGGAUGAUCUAGCCCUGGGCAGGUUGAAGCGCGGGUAAGACCGCGUGGAGGACCGCACCCACCUGGGUUGAAAACCGGGGGGAUGACCUGGGGCUAGGGGUGAAAGGCCAAUCAAAUUCCGUGAUAGCUGGUUCUCUCCGAAAUGCAUUUGGGUGCAGCGUCGGGUGAGUACAUCCGGGGGGUAGAGCUACUGGAUGCUUGAGGGCCCGUACUGGGUACCGACAGCAACCAAACUCCGAAUACCCGUGAUGCGUAUCCCGGCAGUGAGUCGGCGGGGGAUAAGCUCCGUCGUCGAGAGGGAGACAGCCCAGACCGUCGUCUAAGGUCCCCAAGCGCGUGCUAAGUGGGAAAGGAUGUGGAGUCGCAUAGACAGCCAGGAGGUUGGCUCAGAAGCAGCCAUCCUUGAAAGAGUGCGUAACAGCUCACUGGUCUAGUGGUUCCGCGCCGACAAUGUAGCGGGGCUCAAGCACGCCACCGAAGACGCGGCAGCACGUUUCGUGCUGGGUAGGAGAGCGUCCCACGAGGGUCGAAGCGGCCGCGCAAGCGCGCCGUGGACUUCGUGGGAGUGAGAAUGCAGACAUGAGUAGCGAGAGACGGGUGAAGAUCCCGUCCGCCGGAUGACCAAGGGUUCCAGGGCCACGUUCAUCGUCCCUGGGUGAGUCGGGUCCUAAGGCGAGGCCGACAGGCGUAGUCGAAUGGAUGAACGGGUCGAUAUUCCCGUACCGGCGCGCGACCGAACAGACCGAAAGGGCGAGUACUAACCUUGCGUUCCCUCGGAUCCCUCCUUCGGGUGGGUGACGGUGGUUCGUCUGGGACCGUAGCCCCGGUAGGUGAGCGCGGGAGUGACACGGAAGGGCAGCCGGCCAGGGAGGUGGUUUUCCCGGGCCAAGCACGCAGCCCGUCCCCCAGGCAAAUCCGGGGGGCGUCAAGGGUGAGGUGCGAUGGGACGCGCUUAUGCGCGGAUCCGGUGAUCCCGGCCGUCGAGAAAAGCUUCGGCGCGAGGGCGUGCGGCGCCCGUACCCCAAACCGACACUGGUGGUCAGGUAGAGAAUACCAAGGCGAUCGAGCGAAUCCUGGUCAAGGAACUCGGCAAAUCACUCCCGUUCCUUCGGUUUAAGGGAGACCCCCUUGCGUGAAGCGGCUUGCCCGUGGAGCGUCGGGGGGUGGCACAGACCAGGGGGUAGCGACUGUUUACCAAAAACACAGGUGCAUGCGAAGACGCAAGUCGCGGUAUAUGCACUGACGCCUGCCCGGUGCCGGAAGGUUAAGAGGAUCCGUCAACCUUUUGGUGAAGCGGUGAAUUCAAGCCCCGGUAAACGGCGGUGGUAACUAUAACCAUCCUAAGGUAGCGAAAUUCCUUGUCGGGUAAGUUCCGACCUGCACGAAUGGCGUAACGACUUCCCCACUGUCUCGACCAGGAGCUCGGCGAAAUUGCAGUACGAGUAAAGAUGCUCGUUAAGCGCAGAAGGACGAAAAGACCCCGGGACCUUUACUAUACCUUGGUAUUGGCAUUCGGUGUGGAUUGUGUAGCAUAGGCGGGAGACUUAGAGACCAUGGCGCCAGCUGUGGUGGAGUCGCAAGGUGAAAUACCGCUCUGUUCGCAUUGGAUGUCUCACCACGAGCAGUCAUCCUGCUCUGGGACAGUGCCUGGCGGGUAGUUUAACUGGGGCGGUUGCCUCCCAAAGAGUAACGGAGGCGCUCAAAGGUUCCCUCAGCCCGGUUGGCAAUCGGGUGGCGAGUGUAAGUGCACAAGGGAGCUUGACUGCGAGACUGACGGGUCGAGCAGGGACGAAAGUCGGAACUAGUGAUCCGGUGCCGGUGUACGGACGCGGCAUCGCUCAACGGAUAAAAGGUACCCCGGGGAUAACAGGCUGAUCAUUCCCAAGAGUCCAUAUCGACGGGAUGGUUUGGCACCUCGAUGUCGGCUCGUCGCAUCCUGGGGCUGGAGCAGGUCCCAAGGGUUCGGCUGUUCGCCGAUUAAAGCGGCACGCGAGCUGGGUUCAGAACGUCGUGAGACAGUUUGGUCUCUAUCCUCUGCGCUCGUUGGAAUGUUGAGGAGGCCUGCCCAUAGUACGAGAGGACCUGGGUGGACGAACCUCUGGUAUGCCGGUUGUCGCGCCAGCGGCACGGCCGGUUGGCCACGUUCGGAAGGGAUAACCGCUGAAAGCAUCUAAGCGGGAAGCCUGCUCCAAGAUAAGCAUUCCAUAGGCCUCCGGGCCUUGAACCCCCCAUGAAGAACACGUGGUCGAUAGGCCGGACGUGGAAGCCCCGCGAGGGGUGGAGCCGACCGGUACUAACGGGGGAAGGCGAAACCUC
RNAcentral lists this ribosomal RNA (3061 nucleotides) under Bifidobacterium colobi. RNAcentral's name for it is "23S ribosomal RNA". It matches the Rfam family "Bacterial large subunit ribosomal RNA". The record is from RNAcentral. Lineage: Bacteria; Bacillati; Actinomycetota; Actinomycetes; Bifidobacteriales; Bifidobacteriaceae.